Unclassified non-coding RNA from Cricetulus griseus (Chinese hamster), 295 nucleotides. Its record names the gene 7SK. It matches the Rfam family "7SK RNA". Rfam says of the family: 7SK was discovered as an abundant small nuclear RNA in the mid-70s but a possible function has only recently been suggested. Two independent studies have found that 7SK RNA binds the CDK9/cyclin T complex (known as elongation factor P-TEFb). The record is from Ensembl. Lineage: Eukaryota; Metazoa; Chordata; Mammalia; Rodentia; Cricetidae.
AGAUGUGAGGGCAAUCUGGCUGUGACAUCUGUCACCCCAUUGACCGCAGGGUUGAUUCGCUGAUCCUGCUGGCUAGGUGGGUGUCCCUUCCUCCCUCACUGCCCCAUGUGUGUCCCUCCUGUCCUUCACCAAAUAGAGGAGGUCACCAAAUAGAGGAGGACUGGUCUUUGGUUGAAGGUAUAUGAGUAGCUGCGCUCCCCCGCUAGAACCUUCAAACAAGUUCUCAAAGAUGAGGGUUGUCAGAUAUAAUUAGUAUUGUUUGUUUUGGUGGUUUUAAAAAAGUUUUAUCUUUAAC